GAUGAAGAACGCAGCGAAAUGCGAUAAGUAAUGUGAAUUGCAGAAUUCAGUGAAUCAUCGAAUCUUUGAACGCACAUUGCGCCCGCCAGUAUUCUGGCGGGCAUGCCUGUUCGAGCGUCAUUACAACCCUCAGGCCCCCGGGCCUGGCGUUGGGGAUCGGCGGAGCCCCCCGUGGGCACACGCCGUCCCCCAAAUGCAGUGGCGGUCCCGCCGCAGCUUCCAUCGCGUAGUAGCUAACACCUCGCGACUGGAGAGCGGCGCGGCCACGCCGUAAAACACCCAACUUCUGAAUGUUGACCUCGAAUCAGGUAGGAAUACCCGCUGAACUUAAGCAUAUCAAUAAGCGGAGGA
RNAcentral lists this unclassified non-coding RNA (351 nucleotides) under soil metagenome. Its description in RNAcentral is "partial contains 5.8S ribosomal RNA, internal transcribed spacer 2, and large subunit ribosomal RNA". The stretch from base 1 to 120 matches the Rfam family "5.8S ribosomal RNA", at positions 35 to 154 of the family's 154-position model. The record is from RNAcentral.